GCGUGGUUUAGGCAUGCAAGUCGAACGCGAAAGUCCCCUUCGGGGGGCGAGUAGAGUGGCGAAAGGGUGAGUAAUGCAUAGAUGACGUGCCCUCGACUCGGGCAUAGCCCUCCGAAAGGAGGGAUAAUUCCCGAUGAUGUGUACGCACCAAAGAUGGGGAUCUUCGGACCUGUCGGUCGUGGAGCGGUCUAUGUCCUAUCAGCUAGUUGGUGAGGUAACGGCUCACCAAGGCGAUGACGGGUACGGGGCCUGAGAGGGUGUUCCCGCACACUGGGACUGAGACACUGCCCAGACUCCUACGGGAGGCUGCAGUCGAGAAUCUUCGGCAAUGGGCGAAAGCCUGACCGAGCGACGCCGCGUGGACGAUGAAGGCCUUCGGGUUGUAAAGUCCUUUCGACCGCUAGGAAUAAGUGUACGUUAAUAGCGUGCGCGAUGACCCGGCGGUGGAAGAAGCUCCGGCUAAACACGUGCCAGCAGCCGCGGUAAUACGUGUGGAGCAAGCGUUGUUCGGAAUUACUGGGCAUAAAGGGCACGUAGGCGGAAUGUCGUGUCUGGGGUGAAAUCCCCCGGCUUAACCGGGGAAUGGCCUCAGAAACUGGCAUUCUAGAGUGGAAAAGGGGAGAGUGGAACUUUGGGUGUAGCGGUGAAAUGCGUAGAUAUCCAAGGGAACGCCGGUGGCGAAAGCGACUCUCUGGUUUCCAACUGACGCUGAGGUGCGAAAGCGUGGGGAGCAAACAGGAUUAGAUACCCUGGUAGUCCACGCCGUAAACGAUGGGUACUAGGUAGGGGGGGUUCCUAAGCCUUCCCUGCUGGAGCCAAUGUAUUAAGUACCCCGCCUGGGGAGUACGGCCGCAAGGCUAAAACUCAAAGGAAUUGACGGAGGCCCGCACAAGCGGUGGAGUAUGUGGUUUAAUUCGAUGCAACGCGAAGAACCUUACCAGGGCUUGACAUGUCCGGAACCUUACCGAGGGGUGAGGGUGCCUUCGGGAGCCGGAAUACAGGUGGUGCAUGGCUGUCGUCAGCUCGUGUCGUGAGAUGUUGGGUUAAGUCCCGCAACGAGCGCAACCCACGUUCUUAGUUGCCAGCAUUGAGUUGGGCACUCUAGGGAGACUGCCGGUGACAAACCGGAGGAAGGUGUGGAUGACGUCAAGUCAGCAUGCCCCUCACGUCCUGGGCUACACACGUACUACAAUGCUGUGGACAAAGGGCAGCCAGCCAGCGAUGGUGAGCUAAUCCCAGAAACCACGGCUCAGUUCAGAUUGCAGGCUGCAACUCGCCUGCAUGAAGGAGGAAUCGCUAGUAAUCGCAGGUCAGCAUACUGCGGUGAUACGUUCCCGGGCCUUGUACACACCGCCCGUCACACCAUGGGAGUUGGUUUUGCCCGAAGUCGUUACUCCAACCUUAGGGAGGG
RNAcentral lists this ribosomal RNA (1411 nucleotides) under uncultured organism. Its description in RNAcentral is "partial 16S ribosomal RNA". It matches the Rfam family "Bacterial small subunit ribosomal RNA". The record is from RNAcentral.